CUUCCGUGCUCCAGUGGCAAAUAUAUCACGCAUAUUUACGACGAGGCGAAAGUGGAUCUGAAUAAAUGAUUGAUACAUUAUUAAGAUAAAGGGUUUGGUAGUGGUAAAACGUAUGCCGUACUAAAAUAAAGUUGAAUAAUGAUCAAAAUCUUGAGUUAAGCUAUUAGCCCCCACCCCCCCCCCCCCCCCACCCCAUUUUGGAUUAUGAUAUUUCGAUGGCUGUUUUUUUCCCUAUCAUAUUAUGGAACCACUGGGUUUAAGACGGGGUUGGUAAUAAGUCAAGACUUACAUCAGGAC
This 297-nucleotide long non-coding RNA is filed under the name Mytilus galloprovincialis (Mediterranean mussel). The record is from RNAcentral. Lineage: Eukaryota; Metazoa; Mollusca; Bivalvia; Mytilida; Mytilidae.